GGAGUAAUGGCUCUAAUAGUGAGAAAAAUUCUGAGGUACACUCUGGUGGCAGUAAACAAGGGUCAUGUGCGAUUGAUCGUACUCUCUAUGUGGAUAGCGUACAAGUGCGAGAAGCUCCGCAUUCGAAACAGAGCUCUAUAUCAUCCAAUGUAGUGAUGAAUGCAAUGUUAAAACCAACCGCACAUCUGGAAUCCGUUGGUCGGUCUUUGCU
This 211-nucleotide unclassified non-coding RNA is filed under the name Hevea brasiliensis (rubber tree). The record is from RNAcentral. Lineage: Eukaryota; Viridiplantae; Streptophyta; Magnoliopsida; Malpighiales; Euphorbiaceae.